AGUGUCAAAAGUUGCUAAAUUCUACAACAACACACACGCACACAUAGGUUUAGCCGUUUAGCCCGACUUGCCAAAAAAAUCUCAAAUCGAGGAGAGAGAAAAUGGAGCACCCUGAGCUUCACUCACCAGAACACGACGACUAUGGCGAAGAAGAUGUUGCUGUUUACGACGGUGAGAUUCCCGAUGCUGAUGUUGCAGGAACUGAUGCGGAAGACGAUUCUAAAUCGCAGAAUCUUGAAGAUAUGAAGAAGAGGUUGGAAGAGCUUGAGGAUGAAGCUGGUGCGCUUCGUGAAAUGCAGGCUAAAGUUGAGCAAGAGAUGGGAAUUCCUGAAGAAUCUACCAGUGCUAACCCGACUCAAGCUGAAAAGGAGGAGGUCGAUUCCCGUUCAGUAUAUGUGGGCAAUGUUGAUUACGCAUGCACCCCUGAGGAGGUUCAGCAGCAUUUUCAGUCAUGUGGAACUGUGAACAGAGUUACCAUUUUGACAGACAGGUUUGGUCAGCCUAAGGGAUUUGCUUAUGUAGAGUUCGUAGAACUUGAAGCUGUCCAGCAUGCUCUUCUUCUGAAUGAGACUGAACUUCAUGGUCGUCAGCUGAAGGUAUCUGUUAAGAGGACAAACGUUCCUGGGAUGAAACAGUUCCGAGGAAGAAGACCAAACCCAUACGGAGGCAGAUCUAGGAGGCCGUUUAUGCCGGGAGCACCUGUUUAUCCUGCAUAUGGAUACGGGAGGACUCCUAGACUCAGACCUCCAAUGCGGUACAGGCCAUAUUGAUUAUCGACUACUAUCAGAUUUAAGGAGAGGUCAUUGCUUGUUACCGAAGUAUCAGCAGAUGUUUGAUUAUCAUCACAGCCACUGAAGGAGAUAACUUCACCACCACUAGUACCUUUCCAUCUACCUGACCUUGGGCGAUGAUCUUCCCACACAUACUGCCCACUCCUGCAAUAAUCGACCUGUUAGACAUACUGUUUCAUUUCGGACUGGCUUGCAUUGUAUUUGUAGAAGUCACCAAGACCUUUGUUUGUAUCAGGGUUUAGUACAUAAAACAGAGACAAAUCCUCCCAGUGCCUUUAUGUACCAGUUGGAUUUGCAUGAUGGACAAAAAAGGAGAGGGGAAGGGGGUUGCGAAUUCGCUAUUUCACUAUUCUUUUCUGAAGAUGGGAACUGUAGGAAAAGAAAUGGAGAUGAUCUUGAUAACUUGAUUGAUAGAAACCAUCCACAAGAAACAGAAAGGAAGUAGAUAAAAUUUUGAAUUGCAGGUGGCUUCUAAGAGCAGAAAGACUAACCCAUUCAUCCUACAAAGAAAUGGGAGGUCCAACAUAGUACCACUGUGGCAAGCAUCUAUAAUGGCAUGAAGCUUAGCACCACGAGGGAUAGGCUUGACGAUUGUGUCAUUAAUCUCAUCAUCUACAAUCAUCCCGUUUGUUUCAAAGUCUAAUGGACAGAGGGUCUCAUCUUU
RNA transcript from Beta vulgaris subsp. vulgaris (sugar beet), 1455 nucleotides. It is a transcript of the gene named polyadenylate-binding protein 1, with no coding region annotated. Lineage: Eukaryota; Viridiplantae; Streptophyta; Magnoliopsida; Caryophyllales; Amaranthaceae. The record is from RefSeq and is a predicted model, not a curated record. The transcript has 8 exons.